This 460-nucleotide ribosomal RNA is filed under the name uncultured Methylobacter sp. RNAcentral's name for it is "bacterial SSU rRNA". It matches the Rfam family "Bacterial small subunit ribosomal RNA", at positions 537 to 997 of the family's 1533-position model. Lineage: Bacteria; Pseudomonadati; Pseudomonadota; Gammaproteobacteria; Methylococcales; Methylococcaceae. The record is from RNAcentral.
AGCGUUAAUCGGAUUACUGGGCGUAAGCGUGCGUAGGCGGUUAUUUAAGUCAGAUGUGAAAGCCCCGGGCUUAACCUGGGAACUGCAUUUGAUACUGGGUAACUAGAGUUUAAUAGAGGAGAGUGGAAUUUCAGGUGUAGCGGUGAAAUGCGUAGAGAUCUGAAGGAACACCAGUGGCGAAGGCGACUCUCUGGAUUAAAACUGACGCUGAGGUACGAAAGCGUGGGUAGCAAACAGGAUUAGAUACCCUGGUAGUCCACGCCGUAAACGAUGUCAACUAGCCGUUGGGCCUUUUAACAGGCUUAGUGGCGCAGCUAACGCAUUAAGUUGACCGCCUGGGGAGUACGGCCGCAAGGUUAAAACUCAAAUGAAUUGACGGGGGCCCGCACAAGCGGUGGAGCAUGUGGUUUAAUUCGAUGCAACGCGAAGAACCUUACCUACCCUUGACAUGCAUAGAAUC